UAGUCCACGCUGUAAACGAUGAGUACUAGCUGUUGGGUCUGGUGUAAAAGACUUAGUGGCGCAGCUAACGCGAUAAGUACUCCGCCUGGGGACUACGGCCGCAAGGUUAAAACUCAAAGGAAUUGACGGGGACCCGCACAAGCGGUGGAGCAUGUGGUUUAAUUCGAUGCAACGCGAAGAACCUUACCUGCCCUUGACAUCCAUAGAAAGUUUGAGAGAUCAUACUGUGCCCUCGGGAACUAUGAGACAGGUGCUGCAUGGCUGUCGUCAGCUCGUGUUGUGAAAUGUUGGGUUAAGUCCCGCAACGAGCGCAACCCUUAUUUUAGUUGCCAUCAUUAAGUUGGGGACUCUAGAGAGACUGCCGCUGAUAAGGCGGAGGAAGGUGGGGACGACGUCAAGUCAUCAUGGCCCUUACGGGCAGGGCUACACACGUGCUACAAUGGGCAUUACAGAGGGAAGCUAAGCUGUGAAGCGGAGCGAAACUCAGAAAGGUGUUCGUAGUCCGG
RNAcentral lists this ribosomal RNA (506 nucleotides) under uncultured bacterium. Its description in RNAcentral is "bacterial SSU rRNA". It matches the Rfam family "Bacterial small subunit ribosomal RNA", at positions 791 to 1296 of the family's 1533-position model. The record is from RNAcentral.